CAAAAAACGUUGAAGAGGAAAAGUAAGCGGCAGAUGCCUUUCAGAGAGAACCGCCAUGGCUGCGAGCGGUUUAGGCCUCUCUGUCCGCAGAAAUGCCCCUCUGAGUCUGCGGCUGAACAAAAGUAAGCGGCGGCGGGUACAUUCCGUUAUCAAUUUGGAGUUGGGAAGAUGGCACUGCCAUUUUUCAAACAGAGUGGAACCGCGUGUACAAAACGUCUCUGUC
RNAcentral lists this non-coding RNA (223 nucleotides) under Domibacillus iocasae. Its description in RNAcentral is "T-box sequence". It matches the Rfam family "T-box leader". Rfam says of the family: Uncharged tRNA acts as the effector for transcription antitermination of genes in the T-box leader family. T-boxes are found upstream of many aminoacyl-tRNA synthetase genes and some amino acid biosynthetic genes usually in Gram-positive bacteria. Lineage: Bacteria; Bacillati; Bacillota; Bacilli; Caryophanales; Bacillaceae. The record is from RNAcentral.